RNAcentral lists this ribosomal RNA (1500 nucleotides) under uncultured Bordetella sp. Its description in RNAcentral is "partial 16S-23S ribosomal RNA intergenic spacer". It matches the Rfam family "Bacterial small subunit ribosomal RNA". Lineage: Bacteria; Pseudomonadati; Pseudomonadota; Betaproteobacteria; Burkholderiales; Alcaligenaceae. The record is from RNAcentral.
GUUUGAUCAUGGCUCAGAUUGAACGCUGGCUGGAUGCUUUACACGUACAAGUCGGAACUGCAGCACGGACUUCGGUCUGGUGGCGAGUGGCGAACUGGUGAAAUGUCGCUGUCAGGAACAUUGCCUAGUAGCGGGGAUAACUACGCAGCGUAGCUAAUACCAUACGCCCUUCCAGGAAAGCGGGGACAUUCGGGCCUGUCUGCACACUGUCCGACGACGAUAUCGGAUUAGCUAGUUGGUGGGGGUAACGGCUCACCAAGGCGACGAUCAAUAGCUGGUUUUGAGAGGACGACCAGCACACUGGGACUGAGACACGGCCCGAACUCCUGCACAGGAGGAAGCAGCAGUGGGGAAUUUUGGACAAUAGGGAAACCCUGAUCCAGCCAUCCCGCGUGUGCGAUGAGGCCUUCGGUUUGUAAAAGCACUUUUGGCGGAAAGAAACGGCACGGGAUAAUACCCGUGCAAAGCUGACUGAUACCACCGAUCAAGCACCGGCUAACUACGUGCCAGCAACCGCGGUAGCCGUAAGUGCAAGCGUUAAUCGGAAUUACUGGGCGUAAGCGUGCGCGGGCGGUUGGAAGAAAGAUGUGAAAUCCCAGAGAGCUUAACUUUGGAACUCCAUUUUUUAACUACCGAGCUGAGUGUGUCAGAGGAGGUGGAAUUCCGCACGUGUAGCAGUGAAAUGCGUAGAUAUGCGGAGGAAUUUCCCGAUGGCGAAGGCAGCCUCCUGGGACAACACUGACGCUCAUGCACGAAAGCGUGGGGAGCAAACAGGAUUAGAUACCCUGGUAGUCCACGCCCUAAACGAUGUCAACUAGCUUAUUUGGGGGCCUUCGGGCCUUGGUAGCGCAACUUUAACGUGUGAAGUUGACCUGGGGAGAUACGGUCGCAAGAUUAAAACUCAAAAGGAAUUGACGGGGACCCGCACAAGCGGUGGAUGAUGGAUUAAUUCGAUGCAACGCGAAAAACCUUACCUACCUGACAUGUCUGGAAUCGAAGAGAUUUGGGAGUGUACCGCAAGAGAACCGGAACACAGGUGCUGCACCCGGCUGUGUCGUCAGCUCGUGUCGUGAGAUCAUUGGGUUAAGUCCCGCAACAGGCGCAACCCUUGUCAUUGGUUUCACUUUGAAAAGGGCACUCUAAUGAGACUGCCGGUGCGACAAACCGGGAGGAAGGUGAGGAUGACGUCAAGUCCUCAUGGCCCUUAUGGGUAAGGGCUUCACGUCAUACAAUGGUCAGGACAGAGGUCGCCAACCCACGAGGGAGACAAAUCUGAAACCCGAUCGUAGUCAGGAUCGCAGAGUCUCGCAACUCGACUGCAUUGGUCGGAAUCGCUAGUAAUCGCGGAUCAGCAUGUCGCGGUGAAUACGUUCCCGGAGUCAGCGUACACACCGCCCGUCACACCAUGGGAGUGGGUUUUACCAGAAGUAGUUAGCUAACCGUAAGGGCGAUUACGCACAAUACAGGAUUCAUGACUGGGGUGAAGUCAUGUAAAGGUAA